Long non-coding RNA from Naja naja (Indian cobra), 2221 nucleotides. The record is from Ensembl. Lineage: Eukaryota; Metazoa; Chordata; Lepidosauria; Squamata; Elapidae.
AGCAGUCUGGCUCUGCAGCAGCGAAGGGAAGGGGGGAGGGUGUGUACAAGGGCGCGCGCUCGCGCGCUCUGGAGAGCAGGGGAGAGCUUGGCGCUGAGCCAGCUACCAUCAGAAUUAGCUCAUUGUUCAAUAUAACCAGCAUAGACAACCAAAGCCUGAAAGAGAGCGAGAUUUUCCCCUCUUGCUGCUGCCCCCAUCCCGUUUCUCCCCUCCCCCGUUUUCCAAGGCUGCACUCAGAAAAAAGGUGCAGUCAUUCCUUCCCACACCCCUUACCCAGCCUUCUCUCUUCCCCCUUUCUAUAAAUUCUUUUCUAUAGCAUGCUGCCCCUUUUAAACUCACAUUUGUAUUUCAGAUCAUGUAGAAAGGAGAGAAAGUGAGAAGGGGAAUUUGUCAGAAUUUUCAUUUUGCUGACAGUGAAUUUCUGAGUCUUAAAAGAGUGCAAGAAUGGUUUAUCAUCCAAGGCUCACAGUCAGCCAGAAACAUAUUCCAAUGAGCCAUGGACAUGGAGGAUUUAUUAAGGACAAUCUUCCCAUCCCAAAGGAAGUUAACCGCAAAAAGAAUGAGAUGGCUCUGUUCCUGACACCAGUGAAUGGCUCUGGACACCAUUUCAACAAAAUCUAUUACCUCUCUUUUUAAUCAUUACUCCUCAUUUGUAUUAAAUAUGGUGUAUGGGUGUUGAUGAGGUCAUCAUGGUGUCAUAUAUCGGGAAUUGUUUCUUUGUAAAUCAUAAGAAGAAAAGUACGGGACUCUGAGCCUUGCUUUAGAGAAUUACAGUGGAAUAUAUGUACCAUAAACCGGUUUUUAACCAUUCUGACUCAAGUAAAAGCUCUCAGAAUUUCACACUGUGAACCCAAGUUUACAAACACUACAGGUGGGCCUUCAGGCCUUGUUCUACCACAGCAAUGUCUUCCACUAGCCAAAAUCAACUGACCACAUGCAACUGGUAAACUGCUGCCUCUCCAUUUCCAUGAUUCCUAACUGCUUCUUGCAGAGGCUGAGAGUCCCCCUUUUAUUUCAUUUUAGAUGUAACAAGCCUAGUAGUUUAUUUUCAUCAAUUGUCUGUAUAUCUCUAUAUUUUAUCCAUGUACUCUUUUGAUGUAUAGAAGUAGUAUGAAACUCAUGGUUUCCUUGUGGUAAGUGACUGAGAUGCUGCCACGGGAUUUGAGACACUGAUGAAUGGUGCUAUUUUGGACUUUAAACAUGCUCCUUGGCAAGGUAGCUCUGAUGGAGUUAUUUUUAAUUUCCAUGUUCUAAGAAGGUGUUGGUACUUUGUUCUCGUUCUUUAGACUGGACUGACUUGUUUCUUUGUGUCUUCAGUGUGGCUUUCUUAUUCAGUGUUGUAGGGUGAGUAAUUCCUAAUAUAGCAAGUAACGAACUGAUUCCCACCUGGGUAUGCUCACAAUCUUGCAUUGAUAGUGGGAGCAAUCACAAAACUGUAAUUUACUACAAUUUUUGUUUCUUCCAUUCUGCUUAGUAAUUUGGUUGAAGAACAGCAAUAAUUUUUUAUGAUCUUUAAGGGUCUUGUCUUUUUUUUUAAUACAUUAGAAAGUCACAUUUUUAAAUACGGGGGUUUAGCAUGUUUUUAAUGUCAUCUUAAAAACUGAUUAAAUUAACUGUUUUUAAACAUGCAGAAAUGGGAACUCUUAAAAUGACAGUUAAGAUAUUUCCACGAUAUUUCCAAUAUGUGGAUUUUACAAUUUUGUUCUUGCUCCCAGGAAAUUAGGAAACAAUUUUCAAAACAAAACAGUGUCAUCUAUUCAUGGAAUGUUGUUGUGUUAGACACAGUCUGGGAGCCCACCUUGAUUUUUUAUAACUUCUGUCUUUCGGCUCUUCCUUUUACUGGGCAGAUUUUGUCCAGAACCAUUUAGCUUCUGACUGUUAAAUGCCAAUGCAUGCACUGCACUUCUUAAUUUUCUCUCCCUUUUCCUCCUACCCCAUUCUUGUGCACAUUUUUUCUAGUAGUUUAGAUAAGUCAAUUGUGCUGUAUAUACAUGUAACAAAAAACAGUAUUCAGCAGUUGUGGCAUUUAUGUAUAAUUGCAAUUGUGUACUGCUGAAAAUGUAGGCUUUUGUAACAGUGUGAUCUUUAAUAAUGCACUAACACUCAAUGUAUUUUAGCUCUUUUAGUAGGAUUUGUUCAAUAAAUAUGCAAGCUCUAAGAGUAACCAAAAUUUUGGAGUUUUUUUUUUAUUACUCUAUCUUUAUUGUUUUAAAAUAUUUUA